GGGUGGUGGUGUGGGUGUUGUGUGUUGAAGGUGGCUGCAAGGCAGGGAUGAAGGCAUAGUGAAAAAGAAAACAAGAAAAGUGGGACUUGUUUCAGCUACAAAACUGCAGCUCCUCUAGUAUGUGAGCAAAAUUGCUCCCUGGUAAUGGUCCAAAGAAAUUUCAUACAAUUUCAAGCACAGCAGUUUUAGGGAUGCAGCAAUAUAGCAAGCGGAAAGAGGCAUUCAAACCCUGCCCCUUAAUGCAAAAAUAUGAUUAGUAAUAUCAGAGUGGUUUAUUUAUAAUAUUUGGAUGAAUGAGCGGUUUUCAUCUUACUAUCUUCUUAGUCUUCAUUCAGGCAUUUACAUUGUAAACUUUUUCUAUUUUGCACUGUACACCAAAGACUACAGUUACUUUCUGAAUAUUUCUGCCACAUUGAGCAAGUUCUGACUGAUACAACAUUCAAGAUGCAUUCAGAUACUGGAAAGACAACUGAAUGAAAUUCCAGAACAUAAUAAAGAUUAUAUAAUUCAGAACAACAUUGUUGAGAAGGCACCUUGCAUCUGCCAGAGAAUUG
RNAcentral lists this unclassified non-coding RNA (554 nucleotides) under Hevea brasiliensis (rubber tree). Lineage: Eukaryota; Viridiplantae; Streptophyta; Magnoliopsida; Malpighiales; Euphorbiaceae. The record is from RNAcentral.